RNAcentral lists this unclassified non-coding RNA (247 nucleotides) under Glomeraceae sp. RNAcentral describes it as "partial contains 5.8S ribosomal RNA and internal transcribed spacer 2". The stretch from base 1 to 71 matches the Rfam family "5.8S ribosomal RNA", at positions 84 to 154 of the family's 154-position model. Lineage: Eukaryota; Fungi; Glomeromycota; Glomeromycetes; Glomerales; Glomeraceae. The record is from RNAcentral.
GUGAAUCAUCGAAUCUUUGAACGCAAAUUGCACUCCCUGGUAUUCCGGGGAGUAUGCCUGUUUGAGGGUCAGUUUUAAUUAAAAUCGGUGUGGUGGCUGCCUUUCGUGGUGACGUACCGGGUUUGGGUCGGCCUGCCUCCGGUUAACUGACCUAAAAUUGUUCAUGAUUUUUUCGAAAGUAUGUAAAUGGCUUUACGUACGUUUUCGAUAUCGAAUACAAGGUUUGGUCAUCCUCAUGCGGUGAGCC